This 376-nucleotide ribosomal RNA is filed under the name uncultured eukaryote. Its description in RNAcentral is "partial 18S ribosomal RNA". It matches the Rfam family "Eukaryotic small subunit ribosomal RNA", at positions 592 to 976 of the family's 1831-position model. The record is from RNAcentral.
CAAUAGCGUAUAUUAAAGUUGUUGCGGUAAAAAAGCUCGUAGUUGGAUUUCUGUUGAGAACGACCGGUCCGCUCAACGAGUGUGUAUCUGGUUCGGUCUCGGCAUCCUCUCGUAGGACGAAUGCGCUUUAUUGCGUGAUCGGACUCCGGGACUUUUACUUUGAGGAAAUUAGAGUGUUCACGGCAGGCUUACGCCAGAAUACAUUAGCAUGGAAUAAUACUAUAGGAUCUCGGUCCUAUUUUGUUGGUUUCUAGGAAAGAGAUAAUGAUUAAUAGGGACAGUUGGGGGCAUUCGUAUCAACACGUCAGAGGUGGAAUUCUUGGAUUGUGUUGCGACGAACUACUGCGAAAGCAUUUGCCAAGGAUGUUUNCAUUGA